RNAcentral lists this ribosomal RNA (492 nucleotides) under uncultured bacterium. RNAcentral's name for it is "bacterial SSU rRNA". It matches the Rfam family "Bacterial small subunit ribosomal RNA", at positions 28 to 478 of the family's 1533-position model. The record is from RNAcentral.
GAUGAACGCUGGCGGCGUGCCUAAUACAUGCAAGUCGAACGCAUUGUGGUUGAAAUGAUAUGAAGAACUUGUUCAGAUUUGAUUUUCAACAUUGCAAUGAGUGGCGAACGGGUGAGUAACACGUGGGAAACCUACCUCUUAGCAGGGGAUAACAUUUGGAAACAAAUGCUAAUACCGUAUAAUAAUCAAAAACCGCAUGGUUUAGUUAAAAGAUGGUCUUGCUAUCACUAAGAGAUGGUCCCGCGGUGUAUUAGUUAGUUGGUGAGGUAAUGGCUCACCAAGACAAUGAUACAUAGCCGAGUUGAGACUGACCGGCCACAAUGGGACUGAGACACGGCCCAUACUCCUACGGGAGGCAGCAGUAGGGAAUCUUCCACAAUGGACGAAAGUCUGAUGGAGCAACGCCGCGUGUGUGAUGAAGGUUUCGGCUCGUAAAACACUGUUGUAAGAGAAGAAUGACAUUGAGAGUAACUGUUCAAUGUGUGACGGUAU